Micropterus dolomieu (smallmouth bass) is the source of this 508-nucleotide long non-coding RNA. RefSeq lists it as uncharacterized. NCBI's taxonomy places the organism in Eukaryota, Metazoa, Chordata, Actinopteri, Centrarchiformes, Centrarchidae. The transcript is spliced from 3 exons. The record is from RefSeq and is a predicted model, not a curated record.
GUGUAACAGUAGCCUGACAAGUGGCUUUAAUUUGGUUCUGGUUAUUAAUGCUUGUUGGUAAAUGUUUUAAUAGAUGGAUCAGAUCCAAAUGAUCCCACAUAUUGCACCAUCCCUGAUCUUCCACCAGUGGGAAAGAGGACUGAGACAUUGCGUCCUAAUGAGUGCCCAUAUUCCUUGAUCGACAGCACUUUCCUUGGAGGAAAUAAUGAAGGUUCGACGCAGCUCAGUGCCUUGGAGAAACCGAAAGAACCUGAAAACAACAACGACCAAUCUUUCGUUUGACCUGUACUUCUACUUCUGCCUUUGUUGUUAAUCUGUGCGAUUAAUCAGUGGGGACAAAAACAAGAGCAGUAUGGGAAGUGUAAUCAAUUUGAUCCAGUCUGACAUCUGUGAGCCAUUGAGUGCAAAGAGGGACAAUGAUGAAUGUGUGUGACAGCCACCAUUAUAAUAAUAAAAGAGGAAGAAAUACAUACACAAAUGUGAAAAUAAAUAAAUGUGAAUACAAAUA